Molecule: ribosomal RNA, 111 nt
Filed under: Staphylococcus epidermidis
Lineage: Bacteria; Bacillati; Bacillota; Bacilli; Caryophanales; Staphylococcaceae
Description: partial 23S ribosomal RNA
Rfam family: Bacterial large subunit ribosomal RNA
Source: RNAcentral
GAUUAAGUUAUUAAGGGCGCACGGUGGAUGCCUUGGCACUAGAAGCCGAUGAAGGACGUUACUAACGACGAUAUGCUUUGGGUAGCUGUAAGUAAGCGUUGAUCCAGAGAU